Molecule: long non-coding RNA, 2600 nt
Organism: Felis catus (domestic cat)
Lineage: Eukaryota; Metazoa; Chordata; Mammalia; Carnivora; Felidae
Exons: 2
Source: RefSeq, a predicted model, not a curated record
UGUACUCUGUUUGAUUUAAGCAACAAGGAAUUUAUUGAAAGGAAAGCAAACAGCCCACGGAAUCACCAUAAACCAUAUGAACUUAUGAUUUAUCAACUUCUGUGUAUACAAGUUCAGGCAAAUGGAUGUCCAGGGCUAACUCUAAUGGUCAUAUAUUCACAAAGCAAGGUAUAAUGCAUAUUAGUCAUUUUGAAAAUAUUGUUUUAAGUAUAAAUAUGUAUUCUUACUCAUGUAAACUCCUUUUGAAGCAACUUUUGCAUUCAAUAAUCCUUAUUCCAACACACUCUUGGUCUGAAGGCAGAAUCAUUACAAAGUGCUAUAGGUAGAAAAAGAAAGAAAGAAAAGGAAGAAAGAAAGAAAGAAAGAAAGAAAGAAAGAAAGAAAGAAAGAAAGAAAGAAAGAAAGAGAAAGGAAGGAAGGGAGGAAGAAAAAAAGAAAGAGGUAGCUUCUAUGGAAGUAGAGACGGUCUACCAAACCCUGUGUAUUUUCAGACACUAAGACUUUCUGAUUCCUUGCUUAGACCUUAGUGCAGUGGAAAGAACAUGGGCAUCUGUGUUCAGCAGGCCUGAAUCCUACCUCUGCUUUACGUACUAGACAAGAAAAACUACUUAAUCUAUCCAAGCCUCAAUUUGUUAAUCUGAGAAAAAUACAUGUGUUCUAUCUCAUGGUAGGAUUCAAUGAGGUAAUAUAUGAAAGUGCCAAGCAUCCUUUCUGGAACAUAGGAGGAGGAAGAGAAAAAGGAAAAAGAAAAAAACAUAGUGAAAAGUGGCUACCAAGAAUGACCAUGGUUAGUCAUCUCACAGAAUCCCUCUUAGUUCUGUCUCCUUUAUGUCUUAAAUAUUACUGCUAAGCUUACCUUCUAUAUUUGCCAUUUUGAUUUCCCUUCUUUCUUCUUCUUCUCUUAGCAUAGGCCUGAAGGUUUUUAGGAAAUUGGACAGGAUAGAAUUAUGGAACUUAAAAAUCCUUCUGCAUAUAGAGUUGCUGAAAAAGAAAAUAUUCCUAUUUAGUUUCACUUUUUUUUUUCCAGUUUAAAACAACAUACACAGUUUCUGUAGGUCAAGAAUCCCAAGUGUGGUUUAACUGGGUUCUCUGCUUUGGGGUCUCACCAGACUUCAACUAAUGUGUUGGCUGGGCUAUAAUCUCAUCUUGAAGUUUGACUGGGAAAGGGUCCACCUCGAGGAUCACUCAGUUCCUUGAAGCUGUCAGGCCUCCUACAAGCUAUCUGCAGAUCCUUGCCAUGUGGGCCCCUUCACGGACAGUUCAUAACAUGGCUUCUUCAAAGCCAGCAGGAGAUGGAGAACAAGCCUGCCAGCAAGUUGGAAUCUUAGAAACAUAAUGUAAUCACAGGAGUGCCAUCCCAUCCCCUUUGCCAUAGUCUUGAUUAGAAGCAAUCACAUGAGGGCACCUGGGUGGCUCAGUCAAUUGAGUGUCCAACUUUGGCUCAAGUCGUGAUCUCACAGUUCAUGAGUUUGGGCCCUGCGUCGGGCUCUGUGCUGACAGCUCAGAGUUUGGAGCCUGCUUCACAUUCUGUGUUUCCUUUUCUUUCUGCCCCUCCCCUGCUCAUGUUCUGUCUCUCAAAAAAAUGAAUGUGUUAAAAAAAAAAAAAAAAAAAGCAAAUCGCAGGUCCCACCCAUACGCAGGGGAGGGAAGCAAUCAUACACAAGGGUGAACCCCAGACAGUUGAAUACUAGACACUUCAACUUUUAAAAUUGUUUUCAUAUUUCCCUCAUGUCUAAUGACUUCCUCAAGUAUCAGUUUUAAAAUUGUGGAUUAAGAAUGGUGGUUUGCCUUAAACCCUUUGGGAAAUGAGAUGGGAUGUCCAUAUAAAUGCAAAAGUCAAAAUGACAUGUUCUUCAUAUAUGGAGGCACCAAAGACUAUUCAUUCAAGAUGGAUACUUGGAGUUAUUUCUCGGUCACUUUCAUGCUUUUCACUGCUAGCUUCCCUUGACCACAGGCACAUACUUCUGAGGGAAUAAUUCAGAGGGACAAUGGCUAUUAAAAAAAAAAAAUCUCUGAGUAAUGAGCAUCAAGUAGAUGUCAACCCGCUGGCCUUGAUCCUUUAGCACCAACUAAGAUUUGGUUUAUCCAAAAUUAAGUCAGCAGCUAUUUAUUACUAAAACUAACGUCCAUUUUAAAAUAUUUAUGUAAUUUUCAUCUUCUUCAAUAAUCCCAAACAGGAGUGAUGGGGUUACUAAUUUGAUUUUUUCCUACAAAUAAAAUUACAUAUAGUGAUUCCCUAAUGACUCCUUGGAUUCAAUUUAAUGAGGAGUCCACUCACUACAUAUACUUACAUGCUUUUGUACUUUUGUGUGAUGGAACAUGAAGAAACCAUUAGGCGUUAAAUAAGCCAAUGUGUUGCCAUUAAAUAACUAGUGUGAUGACUAGCAUGAUUGUUUGUUUUUUCUAAAUGCUGUUCCUAUAAUUCGUAAUAAUUGUUAUCUAUUCGUAGUAGCCUUAGAAGGAUCUAUCUACCCCUUCCACUGUGUAUUUGGCCUAAAAGAUUAGUUUUUAAUCAUAAAUAAAUAAUUAAUGAUAGUUUAUAAGACACUUAACAACUUUUAAUACUUGCCUUUGAAAUAAAGUUCAUUUUAGAAAAAAAA